RNAcentral lists this ribosomal RNA (492 nucleotides) under uncultured bacterium. RNAcentral's name for it is "partial 16S ribosomal RNA". It matches the Rfam family "Bacterial small subunit ribosomal RNA", at positions 29 to 507 of the family's 1533-position model. The record is from RNAcentral.
AGUGAACGCUGGCGGUAGGCCUAACACAUGCAAGUCGAACGGCAGCACAGUAAGAGCUUGCUCUUACGGGUGGCGAGUGGCGGACGGGUGAGGAAUACAUCGGAAUCUACUUUUUCGUGGGGGAUAACGUAGGGAAACUUACGCUAAUACCGCAUACGUCCUACGGGUGAAAGCAGGGGAUCUUCGGACCUUGCGCGAUUGAAUGAGCCGAUGUCGGAUUAGCUAGUUGGCGGGGUAAAGGCCCACCAAGGCGACAAUCCGUAGCUGGUCUGAGAGGAUGAUCAGCCACACUGGAACUGAGACACGGUCCAGACUCCUACGGGAGGCAGCAGUGGGGAAUAUUGGACAAUGGGCGCAAGCCUGAUCCAGCCAUACCGCGUGGGUGAAGAAGGCCUUCGGGUUGUAAAGCCCUUUUGUUGGGAAAGAAAAGCAGCAGGUUAAUACCCCGCUGUUCUGACGGUACCCAAAGAAUAAGCACCGGCUAACUUCGUG